Molecule: ribosomal RNA, 924 nt
Filed under: uncultured bacterium
Lineage: Bacteria
Description: bacterial SSU rRNA
Rfam family: Bacterial small subunit ribosomal RNA
Source: RNAcentral
AGAGUUUGAUCCUGGCUCAGGACGAACGCUGGCGGCGUGCUAAUACAUGCAAGUAGAACGCUGAAGAAAGGAGCUUGCUUCUUUGGAUGAGUUGCGAACAGGUGAGUAACGCGUAGGUAACCUGCCUUGUAGCGGGGGAUAACUAUUGGAAACGAUAGCUAAUACCGCAUAACAGCUUUUGACACAUGUUGGAAGCUUGAAAGAUGCAAUUGCAUCACUACGAGAUGGACCUGCGUUGUAUUAGCUAGUAGGUAGGGUAACGGCCUACCUAGGCGACGAUACAUAGCCGACCUGAGAGGGUGAUCGGCCACACUGGGACUGAGACACGGCCCAGACUCCUACGGGAGGCAGCAGUAGGGAAUCUUCGGCAAUGGGGGCAACUCUGACCGAGCAACGCCGCGUGAGUGAAGAAGGUUUUCGGAUCGUAAAGCUCUGUUGUAAGAGAAGAACGUGUGUGAGAGUGGAAAGUUCACACAGUGACGGUAACUUACCAGAAAGGGACGGCUAACUACGUGCCAGCAGCCGCGGUAAUACGUAGGUCCCGAGCGUUGUCCGGAUUUAUUGGGCGUAAAGCGAGCGCAGGCGGUUUAAUAAGUCUGAAGUUAAAGGCAGCGGCUUAACCAUUGUUCGCUUUGGAAACUGUUAAACUUGAGUGCAGAAGGGGAGAGUGGAAUUCCAUGUGUAGCGGUGAAAUGCGUAGAUAUAUGGAGGAACACCGGUGGCGAAAGCGGCUCUCUGGUCUGUAACUGACGCUGAGGCUCGAAAGCGUGGGGAGCAAACAGGAUUAGAUACCCUGGUAGUCCACGCCGUAAACGAUGAGUGCUAGGUGUUAGGCCCUUUCCGGGGCUUAGUGCCGCAGCUAACGCAUUAAGCACUCCGCCUGGGGAGUACGACCGCAAGGUUGAAACUCAAAGGAAUUGACGG